RNAcentral lists this ribosomal RNA (465 nucleotides) under uncultured bacterium. Its description in RNAcentral is "partial 16S ribosomal RNA". It matches the Rfam family "Bacterial small subunit ribosomal RNA", at positions 339 to 795 of the family's 1533-position model. The record is from RNAcentral.
CUACGGGGUGCAGCAGUGGGGAAUAUUGCACAAUGGGCGCAAGCCUGAUGCAGCCAUGCCGCGUGUAUGAAGAAGGCCUUCGGGUUGUAAAGUACUUUCAGCGGGGAGGAAGGGAGUAAAGUUAAUACCUUUGCUCAUUGACGUUACCCGCAGAAGAAGCACCGGCUAACAUCCGUGCCAGCAGCCGCGGUAAUACGGAGGGUGCAAGCGUUAAUCGGAAUUACUGUGCGUAAAGCGCACGCAGGCGGUUUGUUAAGUCAGAUGUGAAAUCCCCGGGCUCAACCUUGGAACUGCAUCUGAUACGGGCAAGCUUGAGUCUCGUAGAGGGGGGUAGAAUUCCAGGUGUAGCGGUGAAAUGCGUAGAGAUCUGGAGGAAUACCGGUGGCGAAGGCGGCCCCCUGGACGAAGACUGACGCUCAGGUGCGAAAGCGUGGGGAGCAAACAGGAUUAGAUACCCCAGUAGUC